UUAUGUAUUUCCUUUUACCUUUUAUCAUCUCUUUACUUAAAGGCUUUUAUUUUUAUUGGAAUUCUUCUUCUUCUUUUAUUUCAAUUUUUAUUUUUUAUUUUUUAUAUUAAAAAAAAUGGGAUUCGUGCAUUUUAAUCUUAAUAUUAUUUAAAGUUUGGUAGACUUAUAUGCCACCAAACUGGGUUCCAUUUUUUUAAAAAAAAAAAUUGGUGGGUUUGGAUCCGAUCAACAUUCUUUAUUUGUUUAUAGAUUUUUAAAUUGAAUGUUUAAAUAUGUUAUCAUACACUUGGACUUCAUUCUAAGUAGUUUGCUUUUUGAUUAAAUGUGGUGACUAUGGACUUCAUUUUAUCAUGUUUGAUUUCUACCUCCUCCUCCAUCAUAUAACAGAGUAAAAUUGAUUUGUUAAUUAGGUAUUAUUUGGAUAUCACCACCACCACAGCCACCGUCAUCGUCUUUGCUUCAAACCCCCUCCGUGAGGCUCCUUGGACUCUUCAAUUGAUUAAUGUUCUUUUGCUAGCAAGGUUGAAGGUUUUAUGCAGCAAAUUAGCAGAGUUUGAUUGAUUUAUUAAUAAAGUUUGGCUGCUUGAAAUGUAUGGUCAGGGUAAAGAUCACUCUAUUUCUUAUGUUUGAUUGCUAACACACAGACUCUUCACAUUAAGGUAAAGACUCUUGGCUCCAAAUUAGGUGGGUCUUUCCUGUUUGUGUUUUCUGCUUUUAAAUUGGUCUUUCAUCUAAAAAAAUUUCAAAUUGGUCUUUCCUGUUUGGAAGAUUUGGCAUUUGUUUUCAGAAAUCUCACCAAAGGUCUUUACGAUAUUUAAUAAGGCCAUGAUUUUUGGGCUUUAUAUGUGUAUCUCUAUGAACUUUCUUUUUUCUCUUUUGAAAUUUUUGACAUUAUACUUUAACUACAUGUCUCUUUUCAGUUAUGAUAUUAAGAAAGAUGUAUGAAACUAUGGAUUUAAAAGGAAUGUAUGAAGAGGAGUUGUUUUGAGGAGUUGCA
Molecule: non-coding RNA, 997 nt
Organism: Camellia sinensis
Lineage: Eukaryota; Viridiplantae; Streptophyta; Magnoliopsida; Ericales; Theaceae
Source: RefSeq, a predicted model, not a curated record